CCCAUAGACUUUAACACCUUUUUCAUACACUAUAACACAUGAAAAUACCAACAUGUCCUUCGACUUCUCUUGUUUAUUCUUUUUAGUUAAAUCAUAAAUAUAUAAUAAUCAAUUCAAUAUUUAUAUUUCUUUUAGCUCUCUGAUAAAGCAUCAUUCUCUUUCUCUUUGUACCUCUCCCACGAGACUAGACCACCCAUCUAUUUCUUCAUGUACAAUUCCACAAAAAUUAAAUCUUGCGAUGAUGGAUCUUCAAAGCUCAAAUCUCGAGCCUGUGACCGCCAAGAUCCUGCUCAGAUGCCGAACCCGUCACCGCCAAGAUUCUCCCUUUCUGACCCUUAAACUUCUGGGAUCAAGACAUCGUCGACUACUGGCUCAUGGUCUCGCUUUUUCACGGUGGUGACGAAGAGAAAUAGGGUGACGAAGGGAAAUAUGCCGUUAAGGGUUUCGAUCUAGAAUUGCUUAUUCAUGGCGGCGACAAAGCCAAAGAGGUGUUUAGGAUUUCGAUUUGAUUUUGAAAUAUGGAUUUUUAUUAUUUAGUUUUUUUUUCCUCUCUUGAAUCAGAGCUCAGAGAUGUUGUUGGGUUUUCUAUAUUUUGAUUAUUUAGGUUUUGUAUUCUUUAGCAACUCACUCUGGUGCUGCGUUUAUCUCGGUAGAAAAAACGUCUCUUGCUUCGCUUCCAUAAUCCUCAUCUCAAAUCAAGGGGAUGGUGUUUGCUCCUCCACUUCAAGGACUAGUAGUCCAGCGUGAAAUCAAGUUCUAUCUCAGGUCAUGAUGAGAAACAGCUCUCCACCUCUCUUGUAUUUUUUCAUGUUUUUGUUCUCUUUCUGUGCUUUGAGAUGUCAUGUUAUUUGAAUGAAAUGUCAUGAUUGUCUGAAUUCUAUAUAUAUUUGGAAAAUAUCUUUUCAAAUACACGUUCGGUUUUAUGGUA
This is a long non-coding RNA of Raphanus sativus (radish), 928 nucleotides long. RefSeq lists it as uncharacterized. NCBI's taxonomy places the organism in Eukaryota, Viridiplantae, Streptophyta, Magnoliopsida, Brassicales, Brassicaceae. The transcript has 2 exons. The record is from RefSeq and is a predicted model, not a curated record.